RNAcentral lists this ribosomal RNA (499 nucleotides) under uncultured bacterium. Its description in RNAcentral is "partial 16S ribosomal RNA". It matches the Rfam family "Bacterial small subunit ribosomal RNA", at positions 30 to 523 of the family's 1533-position model. The record is from RNAcentral.
AUUGAACGCUGGCGGCAUGCCUUACACAUGCAAGUCGAACGGUAACGGGUCCUUCGGGAUGCCGACGAGUGGCGAACGGGUGAGUAAUAUAUCGGAACGUGCCCAGUAGUGGGGGAUAACUGCUCGAAAGAGCAGUUAAUACCGCAUACGACCUGAGGGUGAAAGGGGGGGAUCGCAAGACCUCUCGCUAUUGGAGCGGCCGAUAUCAGAUUAGCUAGUUGGUGGGGUAAAGGCCUACCAAGGCAACGAUCUGUAGUUGGUCUGAGAGGACGACCAGCCAGACUGGGACAGAGACACGGCCAGACUCCUACGGGAGGCAGCAGUGGGGAAUUUUGGACAAUGGGCGCAAGCCUGAUCCAGCAAUGCCGCGUGCAGGAAGAAGGCCUUCGGGUUGUAAACUGCUUUUGUCAGGGAAGAAAUCUUCUGGGCUAAUACCCCGGGAGGAUGACGGUACCCGAAGAAUAAGCACCGGCUAACUACGUGCCAGCCGCCGCCGUAA